Molecule: ribosomal RNA, 907 nt
Filed under: Nocardiopsis sp.
Lineage: Bacteria; Bacillati; Actinomycetota; Actinomycetes; Streptosporangiales; Nocardiopsidaceae
Description: bacterial SSU rRNA
Rfam family: Bacterial small subunit ribosomal RNA
Source: RNAcentral
CACAUGCAAGUCGAGCGGUAAGGCCCUUCGGGGUACACGAGCGGCGAACGGGUGAGUAACACGUGAGCAACCUGCCCCUGACUCUGGGAUAAGCGGUGGAAACGCCGUCUAAUACCGGAUACGACCCGCCACCUCAUGGUGGAGGGUGGAAAGUUUUUCGGUCAGGGAUGGGCUCGCGGCCUAUCAGCUUGUUGGUGGGGUAACGGCCUACCAAGGCGAUUACGGGUAGCCGGCCUGAGAGGGCGACCGGCCACACUGGGACUGAGACACGGCCCAGACUCCUGCGGGAGGCAGCAGUGGGGAAUAUUGCGCAAUGGGCGAAAGCCUGACGCAGCGACGCCGCGUGGGGGAUGACGGCCUUCGGGUUGUAAACCUCUUUUACCACCAACGCAGGCUCCCAGUUCUCUGGGGGUUGACGGUAGGUGGGGAAUAAGGACCGGCUAACUACGUGCCAGCAGCCGCGGUAAUACGUAGGGUCCGAGCGUUGUCCGGAAUUAUUGGGCGUAAAGAGCUCGUAGGCGGCGUGUCGCGUCUGCUGUGAAAGACCGGGGCUUAACUCCGGUUCUGCAGUGGAUACGGGCAUGCUAGAGGUAGGUAGGGGAGACUGGAAUUCCUGGUGUAGCGGUGAAAUGCGCAGAUAUCAGGAGGAACACCGGUGGCGAAGGCGGGUCUCUGGGCCUUACCUGACGCUGAGGAGCGAAAGCAUGGGGAGCGAACAGGAUUAGAUACCCUGGUAGUCCAUGCCGUAAACGUUGGGCGCUAGGUGUGGGGACUUUCCACGGUUUCCGCGCCGUAGCUAACGCAUUAAGCGCCCCGCCUGGGGAGUACGGCCGCAAGGCUAAAACUCAAAGGAAUUGACGGGGGCCCGCACAAGCGGCGGAGCAUGUUGCUUAAUUCGACGCAACGC